GCUUCUAUAGCUCAGUUGGUAGAGCGCGGCACUAGUAAUACUGGCCUCCUGGCCUCAAAACUAGGCCUAUGCCGAGGUCUUCGGUUCAACUCCGUCCGCCAGCC
Non-coding RNA from Neohortaea acidophila, 104 nucleotides. NCBI's taxonomy places the organism in Eukaryota, Fungi, Ascomycota, Dothideomycetes, Mycosphaerellales, Teratosphaeriaceae. The record is from the annotation of a RefSeq genome assembly.